Long non-coding RNA from Siniperca chuatsi (mandarin fish), 601 nucleotides. RefSeq lists it as uncharacterized. NCBI's taxonomy places the organism in Eukaryota, Metazoa, Chordata, Actinopteri, Centrarchiformes, Sinipercidae. The record is from RefSeq and is a predicted model, not a curated record. The transcript is spliced from 2 exons.
UACAUGAAACAGGGGCCUAAAAAUAUAACACAUAUUAUCUUACGUCUGCAUCCGCGAUGAGAACUCUGAGUUCUUGUAAACUUUCAUUGAUGCGAGCCCUUCUUUUCUUCUCGACCAGAGGUUUCCUCAUCUGCCAAAUCAAUUUUAUCCCACUGCAGUUAUCACCUCUGUCCAUUCCGUUUGUGUUGCUACGGAUGGGGGCCAUGUUGUUGAAGUUUAACCCAGGCGCUGCCAGAAGCCCACUGGACUGGAGGUUGGUGUGUAAUCCUAAGAGCCGUUACAGCGUGUCAAUGGGUGGGACAGAUGGCCGGGCGAUCCCAGCGACCAACAAAGCUUGCAGAGAGACUUGGCUCCUUAAUGCUGCUCCGAGGGGGUAUGUACUAGGUAUAUAUGACGGUUCAUUUACAUGUGAAUGGAUGAACUGGCUACGAGAGCAAGACACAUCGAGGGCGCGCAACGCUCGUACCCGCCAAUCAUCAGUGGUCAUGUUAGCUUGUGUCCCCAACUUCAGUCUGAACCAUUGACUGUAUAUAAAGAUGGUAUUAACCUACAUACAGAUUAAAAACAUAAACUGCUGAGAUACAUUCUACAAGAAAAGGGC